RNAcentral lists this unclassified non-coding RNA (270 nucleotides) under plant metagenome. Its description in RNAcentral is "partial contains small subunit ribosomal RNA, internal transcribed spacer 1, and 5.8S ribosomal RNA". The record is from RNAcentral.
UUUCCGUAGGUGAACCUGCGGAAGGAUCAUUAUCGUACAAAAUGUGAGGGGCAUGCGAGGGCUGUCGCUGACCCGAAAGGUCGUGAACGCCCGAGUGCCCUCACACACAUCCAUCUCACCCCUAUGUGCACCACCGCGUGGGUCCCCCUUUGGCUUGUUCGGAGGGGGGCUUACGUUUUCACACAAACUUUGUAUGCAGUGUAGAAUGUAUUUUUUGUUUUUGCGAUCACGCAAUCAAUACAACUUUCAACAACGGAUCUCUUGGCUCUC